Molecule: unclassified non-coding RNA, 240 nt
Filed under: soil metagenome
Description: partial contains 5.8S ribosomal RNA, internal transcribed spacer 2, and large subunit ribosomal RNA
Source: RNAcentral
AACGCACGAGACCUGCGGACCUGCGGAAGGAUCAUUAUUGAAUAAAUCUGACUUGGGUUGUAGCUGGCUUCUUCGGGAGCAUGUGCACGCCGGGUCACCUUUAUAUCUAUCCACCUGUGCACCCUUUGUAGUCCUGGAUACCUCUCGCUGAAAGGCGGAUGCAGAGUCUGCUGUGCCAUCGAAAAGAAGGUCGGCUUACUCUGAAUUUCCAGGCCUAUGAUUUUUUUAUACACCCCAAAU